RNAcentral lists this ribosomal RNA (253 nucleotides) under uncultured bacterium. RNAcentral describes it as "partial 16S ribosomal RNA". It matches the Rfam family "Bacterial small subunit ribosomal RNA", at positions 524 to 776 of the family's 1533-position model. The record is from RNAcentral.
UACAGAGGGGGCUAGCGUUAUUCGGAAUUAUUGGGCGUAAAGGGCGCGUAGGCGGCUUUGCGUGUCUUCCGUGAAAUCCCUCGGCUCAACCGAGGACGUGCGGAAGAAACUGCAAGGCUCGAGUCCGGAAGAGGGGGGCGGAAUUCCCAGUGUAGCGGUGAAAUGCGUAGAUAUUGGGAGGAACACCAGUGGCGAAGGCGGCCACCUGGACCGGUUCUGACGCUGAUGCGCGAAAGCGUGGGUAGCAAACAGG